UACAGAGGUCUCAAGCGUUGUUCGGAUUCAUUGGGCGUAAAGGGCGCGUAGGCGGCGGGGUAAGUCGGGUGUGAAAUCUCAGAGCUCAACUCUGAAAUGGCACUUGAUACUGCUCUGCUAGAGGACUGGAGAGGAGAUUGGAAUUCACGGUGUAGCAGUGAAAUGCGUAGAUAUCGUGAGGAAGACCGGUGGCGAAGGCGGAUCUCUGGACAGUUCCUGACGCUGAGGCACGAAGGCCAGGGGAGCAAACGGG
This 253-nucleotide ribosomal RNA is filed under the name uncultured bacterium. Its description in RNAcentral is "partial 16S ribosomal RNA". It matches the Rfam family "Bacterial small subunit ribosomal RNA", at positions 524 to 776 of the family's 1533-position model. The record is from RNAcentral.